GUGUCAGCAGCCGCGGUAAUACAGAGGGCGCAAACGUUGCUCGGAAUUACUGGGCGUAAAGCGUGCGUAGGCGGACGAAUAAGUCGGGUGUGAAAUCCCUGGGCUCAACCCAGGAACUGCAUUCGAAACUGCUCGUCUAGAGUACUGGAGAGGAAAGCGGAAUUCUUGGUGUAGAGGUGAAAUUCGUAGAUAUCAGGAGGAACACCAGUGGCGAAGGCGGCUUUCUGGACAGUUACUGACGCUCAGACACGAAAGCGUGGGGAGCAAACAGGAUUAGAUACCCGAGUAGUCC
Molecule: ribosomal RNA, 292 nt
Filed under: uncultured bacterium
Lineage: Bacteria
Description: partial 16S ribosomal RNA
Rfam family: Bacterial small subunit ribosomal RNA
Source: RNAcentral